AUUACAUAUCUGAAUCACGAGGCAUUUAGGACGGGAAUGAAAAGAAGAUCGGGGGAGGUGUUUUAAAAACCAGGUUCUCCUCUUAGCUUGACCAUUCAGGAGCUGAGGGACCUGGGCAAGUCCCUCCACCUCUCUGGGCCUCUGCAUGUAAAGGGGCGUUUGGGCUAAAUGAUUUGUAAACCUCUGUUCUUCCAAGAUUCUCCCCUCUCAGGGAACUGAAAAGAUGAGAGUGUUUCUGUUUAACAGCACUACAAAAAGCCUAAUUGUGACAACAAGCGCCUCUACCCUAGUGAGGAGGAAAGAUUUUUCAGAGCUUCAGCAAUCUGAUUUUUUUUUAAAGAUAAAACUGAUUUUCUCGAUCGACUCUCUUCAGUCUAACCCAAUAAAUACGCAUUGCAAUCAUUUUAAUUUUUGUAAGAUCUUGAUGGGGAAAACAGAGGGAAAGAACACCUAAAACACGAGAUUAUUCCACAACCAAGGACGAAAGAGAAAUAGCUUUGACUGAGGGCUUGCGCUUGCUAGACACUGCGCCUAAUAUGUACAUGGUCACCUUAAGUGUCACCUCAGCCUUCUGAGAUAAG
RNAcentral lists this long non-coding RNA (581 nucleotides) under Homo sapiens (human). RNAcentral's name for it is "novel transcript, intronic to TMOD2". Lineage: Eukaryota; Metazoa; Chordata; Mammalia; Primates; Hominidae. The record is from RNAcentral.